Penaeus chinensis is the source of this 341-nucleotide long non-coding RNA. RefSeq lists it as uncharacterized. The record is from RefSeq and is a predicted model, not a curated record. NCBI's taxonomy places the organism in Eukaryota, Metazoa, Arthropoda, Malacostraca, Decapoda, Penaeidae. The transcript has 3 exons.
UCAGUUCUGAAAUCUUAACCACUACAGAACCUCAUUAGACAACAGACAAAGAUGUGUUGUGACAUCUGUGAAUGCUUGUGUAGUUUCAUGUCUAAACUGUGUUGUGAAUUCUUUUGCGAAGAUUGCUGUGACUGUGACUGUUGCGAAGAUACUCUUGACGACGACGAAGAAGAGAAGAGGAAAAGGAGGAAAGAACAACAGGAUAAAAUCGUGUCUGCACAACCCACUAAUAAGGACCCUUCCAGUAGACCAUUAGUAUGAAAUAUUUACAUUGCACCCUUUACCAGUACUCUGUAGUUUAAAUUGAUGUGAAUAGUAAUAAAAACUAUUUAUUAUAUAAA